UUGGCGGACGCUAUUUUAUUGGUCUUACCAAACUAAUCGACCAAACCGUCCAAUUGGCCUAACUAAGAAAUAAAAUCCUCUCUCUCACUCAAUUCUCCCUCAAACUAUUCAUUUUCCUCAGAUCUGGUAUUUCGUUAUUUCUCUCGCGUCAUCGCCGCUUCUCUCUCUGAGCAUCAUCGCCGUCUUCAAGUAUCACCGCCGCUUCUUUAUCAGGAUCCUCUUGUGAAGCCUGCACCAAAGAAGCAGAGUGAGUCUUCAUCAAAGUAGAUCUGUUUCGUUUGCUUGGGUUUGAUAGGAUGACUUUGGAAAGGUUGAAGAUUGAAAAUUUGUAAUAUUGAAGAAGAAAUGAAUUCUUUCUAAUGUAUUAGAUAGAUUUUUGUUAUUACUUAUUUAAGUAAGGUUGUAAAUU
Molecule: long non-coding RNA, 409 nt
Organism: Beta vulgaris subsp. vulgaris (sugar beet)
Lineage: Eukaryota; Viridiplantae; Streptophyta; Magnoliopsida; Caryophyllales; Amaranthaceae
Exons: 3
Source: RefSeq, a predicted model, not a curated record